AACUAAUGAACUUGAAUAAGUAUUUGCUUUGAAAGCAAAUAAAAGAAAUCGAACUUUCUAUUAGUUU
RNAcentral lists this transfer RNA (67 nucleotides) under Platydema sp. PLA01. RNAcentral's name for it is "tRNA-Ser". Lineage: Eukaryota; Metazoa; Arthropoda; Insecta; Coleoptera; Tenebrionidae. The record is from RNAcentral.